GCCGAAGUGGCGAAAUCGGUAGACGCAGUUGAUUCAAAAUCAACCGUAGAAAUACGUGCCGGUUCAAGUCCGGCCUUCGGCACCA
This 85-nucleotide transfer RNA is filed under the name Escherichia coli. RNAcentral describes it as "tRNA-Leu". It matches the Rfam family "tRNA". Rfam says of the family: Transfer RNA (tRNA) molecules are approximately 80 nucleotides in length. The record is from RNAcentral. Lineage: Bacteria; Pseudomonadati; Pseudomonadota; Gammaproteobacteria; Enterobacterales; Enterobacteriaceae. RNAcentral also lists the same sequence under 2 other names.